This 478-nucleotide ribosomal RNA is filed under the name uncultured bacterium. RNAcentral describes it as "partial 16S ribosomal RNA". It matches the Rfam family "Bacterial small subunit ribosomal RNA", at positions 28 to 523 of the family's 1533-position model. The record is from RNAcentral.
GACGAACGCUGGCGGCGUGCUUAACACAUGCAAGUCGAACGGUAAGGCCCUUCGGGGUACACGAGUGGCGAACGGGUGAGUAACACGUGGGUGAUCUGCCCUGCACUUCGGGAUAAGCCUGGGAAACUGGGUCUAAUACCGGAUAGGACCACUGCCUGCAUGGGUGGUGGUGGAAAGGUUUUGCGGUGUGGGAUGGGCCCGCGGCCUAUCAGCUUGGUGGUGGGGUGAUGGCCUACCAAGGCGGCGACGGGUAGCCGGCCUGAGAGGGUGACCGGCCACACUGGGACUGAGAUACGGCCCAGACUCCUACGGGAGGCAGCAGUGGGGAAUAUUGCACAAUGGGCGCAAGCCUGAUGCAGCGACGCCGCGUGAGGGAUGACGGCCUUCGGGUUGUAAACCUCUUUCAGCACCGACGAAACGCAAGUGACGGUAGGUGCAGAAGAAGGACCGGCCAACUACGUGCCAGCAGCCGCCGCCG